RNAcentral lists this ribosomal RNA (210 nucleotides) under uncultured bacterium. RNAcentral describes it as "partial 16S ribosomal RNA". It matches the Rfam family "Bacterial small subunit ribosomal RNA", at positions 524 to 732 of the family's 1533-position model. The record is from RNAcentral.
UACGUAGGGUGCGAGCGUUGUCCGGAAUUACUGAGCGUAAAGAGCUCGUAGGUGGUUUGUCGCGUUGUUCGUGAAAACUCACAGCUCAACUGUGGGCGUGCGGGCGAUACGGGCAGACUGGAGUACUGCAGGGGGAGACUGGAAUUCCUGGUGUAGCGGUGGAAUGCGCAGAUAUCAGGAGGAACACCGGUGGCGAAGGCGGGUCUCUGG